Long non-coding RNA from Mastomys coucha (southern multimammate mouse), 397 nucleotides. RefSeq lists it as uncharacterized. The transcript is spliced from 2 exons. Lineage: Eukaryota; Metazoa; Chordata; Mammalia; Rodentia; Muridae. The record is from RefSeq and is a predicted model, not a curated record.
AAGAAAUUCAUCUGCAGUCUGUAGAAAAAUGUAUCACUCAAGCAGCAAGACAUUUGUAUUCCCCUUUUAAUAGCACACUUACAAAAGAAGCUUCAUGCAGUGCUCCUCCCACUUGCCUUCCUGCCAUUCAAGAACACAGUGUUUGUUCCCUCUGGAGGAUAUAGGACUAAGGCAGCAUCAACAAAGACCUAUCUUGGCCUAAUCGAUCCUAUCCUUUCCUACACUACUGAAAGAAGAAAGCCUUCCCAGACAACCAAACUGCUGGCCUCUGAUCUACAGACACUUUCCAGCCUCCAGCACUGCCAGAGCUGAACCAGAAUGGAAGGCAAUAACAUUGAGAAAUUCACCGUCAACAACAGUUCUUUGUGAAAUUUUAAUAAAAGCUCAUUGGAAGCCA